This 304-nucleotide small RNA is filed under the name Arabidopsis thaliana (thale cress). RNAcentral's name for it is "ATSL294030". Lineage: Eukaryota; Viridiplantae; Streptophyta; Magnoliopsida; Brassicales; Brassicaceae. The record is from RNAcentral.
CACAAUCGAAUUCGAAACUUACAAUUCGUAAUAAGAAAUUACCUUUUACAGCUUUAUUUAACAAAGGUUUCAUGUAAAAAGAAUGGUAGGGACCGCGCGAACGCAGGCCCCCUCUGCCACAAAUAAUGACGCAGGCUCUCCCACUUGGGGAGACCUUAAGCUAAGCACCCCUCCGUUAUGUGCAAUGGAGGUCACUAGCCUAGGCCACUCGUCUUAUUGAUCACAAGUUGACCCCGUCCAGGUAAGUAAUUUUCACAGACUGUCCACAUCUUCAGUUAUACUCUGCUUCCUCAAUCAUUCUUUC